GGGCAUCCGCGAGCUAUCGGCGGUUGGACCGGCGGCUCUCGGUGGGGUUCCGGACGCGGAUCUGGCGCCGAAUUCUCACGAGACCUGAUACCUUCCUUAUUUGUAUAUUCUCUUACUUAAAAAGCCAGAUGUCUUUUUUUUUUUUUUCAUUGAAAAGAGAAAAUUGACAAGGUAAACGGUCGUUUGGAGGGGCCACCUGGGGACGCGGCCCGAGCCCUGGCUCUACCUGAAGAAUAUCUUCUAUUUGCCACACUUCCUCUCCCCGUUUCCUUUCUUCGCCCCUCUCCUCUUUCCCCUUCCCCUCGAAGGUAAUGAGAACUACUGGACCGAUUACGCUAACCUCUUGGCCCUUUGUCAAAAAAUGGAGCCAAAAAGGUUGAUUUAGACAGACCCCCUGCUCAGUGCAGCACCUGUUAUUCUCUGUAUUUAUAUUACCAAGGGCCUUCGGUAAAUUAUGAAAAAUAGGAUGCCACCUGGGACAACACUGCUUAGACAGCACUGGAAGACCUUUAUAAAUAUACUAGGUUGCUUUUCUCCAAUCAGCCUAGCCUUGAUUUGAAAUUCAUUUUUAUUUUUUUUGAGACGGUGAAAUUCAUUUUUAAAAGAUAGUUUUAACCUCAGCGAUCUCUGAUGUUUGCGCUAAUACCCUUUUAAAGGCUUUCAGAAAUUUUAAAGAAUUGCUAUGAAAGGAAAAGUAACAUUCUAGUUUUUCUCUGUAAAAGAGGUUCACAAACGGCAGAUCGCUGUUAUGAAAAGGAGGGGUGGAAGUAUUUAAGGAAUUGUGGCAAACAAAGUCACAGAAGAAUGGAUAUAAGCAAAAGUAGCACACUGAAAAAAAUGGGGAAAAGUGGAGUCUAGAUCACAAACUGGUAAGCUUGGUGAUGUUCUCUAGCCAAAUUCGAAGGUAAUAACAUUGUAUUAUGGCUUUCUGUUUAAAAGCAGUUUCGCUUAUUUGAUUAUUCAACAAAUCUUUAUUAACACGCAUUACGUGUACCAGAAACUGUGGUACACUUAACUGUGGAGCUGGGGAAGCAAAAGUGAACAUGCCGCCUUAAGUGAGUUCAGAUGGCUUAUCUUCCGGUUGGGGAGGCAUCAAGUACACAGGUCCGUUGUAAACCAGUGUCUUAAGUGCUAACCUUAUCACAUUUGCUAUUAGAGGAUAUUAAACAUGUCAGACUUCUUGGAGAAAGUUGAUAUUUUCAUGUUCCAAGUUUGGGAACAUCAUUGAAUUCAGACAGAUCUGGAUUGAAACAGAUUAAAGUGCCUACACUUUA
RNAcentral lists this long non-coding RNA (1274 nucleotides) under Homo sapiens (human). RNAcentral's name for it is "HSALNT0372363". The record is from RNAcentral. Lineage: Eukaryota; Metazoa; Chordata; Mammalia; Primates; Hominidae.